GUCGAGCGGAUGAAGGAGCUUGCUCCUGGAUUCAGCGGCGGACGGGUGAGUAAUGCCUAGGAAUCUGCCUGGUAGUGGGGGACAACGUUUCGAAAGGAACGCUAAUACCGCAUACGUCCUACGGGAGAAAGCAGGGGACCUUCGGGCCUUGCGCUAUCAGAUGAGCCUAGGUCGGAUUAGCUAGUUGGUGAGGUAAUGGCUCACCAAGGCGACGAUCCGUAACUGGUCUGAGAGGAUGAUCAGUCACACUGGAACUGAGACACGGUCCAGACUCCUACGGGAGGCAGCAGUGGGGAAUAUUGGACAAUGGGCGAAAGCCUGAUCCAGCCAUGCCGCGUGUGUGAAGAAGGUCUUCGGAUUGUAAAGCACUUUAAGUUGGGAGGAAGGGCAGUAAAUUAAUACUUUGCUGUUUUGACGUUACCGACAGAAUAAGCACCGGCUAACUCUGUGCCAGCAUCCGCGGUAAUACAGAGGGUGCAAGCGUUAAUCGGAAUUACUGGGCGUAAAGCGCGCGUACGUGGUUUGUUAAG
RNAcentral lists this ribosomal RNA (530 nucleotides) under Pseudomonas cichorii. RNAcentral describes it as "bacterial SSU rRNA". It matches the Rfam family "Bacterial small subunit ribosomal RNA", at positions 61 to 587 of the family's 1533-position model. Lineage: Bacteria; Pseudomonadati; Pseudomonadota; Gammaproteobacteria; Pseudomonadales; Pseudomonadaceae. The record is from RNAcentral.